GGGAGUAUAGCUCAGUGGUAGAGCGUUCGACUGGAGAUCGAGAGGUCCCCGGUUCGAAUCCGUGUGUUUUUU
This 72-nucleotide transfer RNA is filed under the name Diabrotica virgifera virgifera (western corn rootworm). It matches the Rfam family "tRNA". Rfam says of the family: Transfer RNA (tRNA) molecules are approximately 80 nucleotides in length. Their secondary structure includes four short double-helical elements and three loops (D, anti-codon, and T loops). Lineage: Eukaryota; Metazoa; Arthropoda; Insecta; Coleoptera; Chrysomelidae. The record is from Rfam by way of RNAcentral.